Molecule: ribosomal RNA, 254 nt
Filed under: uncultured bacterium
Lineage: Bacteria
Description: partial 16S ribosomal RNA
Rfam family: Bacterial small subunit ribosomal RNA
Source: RNAcentral
UACGUAGGGGGCGAGCGUUGUCCGAAGUUACUGGGCGUAAAGCGCGCGUAGGCGGUUUCUUAAGUCUGGGGUGAAAGGUUCAGCGCUCAACGCGAACAGUGCCUUGGAUACUGGGAGACUUGAGUCUGGGAGGGGGCAGUGGAAUUCCUGGUGUAGCGGUGAAAUGCGUAGAUAUCAGGAGGAACACCGGUGGCGAAGGCGGUUCUCUGGGCAUUACCUGACGCUGAGGAGCGAAAGUGUGGGGAGCGAACAGG